RNAcentral lists this ribosomal RNA (469 nucleotides) under uncultured bacterium. RNAcentral describes it as "partial 16S ribosomal RNA". It matches the Rfam family "Bacterial small subunit ribosomal RNA", at positions 28 to 508 of the family's 1533-position model. The record is from RNAcentral.
GACGAACGCUGGCGGCGUGCUUAACACAUGCAAGUCGAACGGAAAGGCCCUGCUUUUGUGGGGUGCUCGAGUGGCGAACGGGUGAGUAACACGUGAGUAACCUGCCCUUGACUUUGGGAUAACUUCAGGAAACUGGGGCUAAUACCGGAUAGGAGCUCCUGCCGCAUGGUGGGGAUUGGAAAGUUUCGGCGGUUGGGGAUGGACUCGCGGCUUAUCAGCUUGUUGGUGGGGUAGUGGCUUACCAAGGCUUUGACGGGUAGCCGGCCUGAGAGGGUGACCGGCCACAUUGGGACUGAGAUACGGCCCAGACUCCUACGGGAGGCAGCAGUGGGGAAGAUUGCACAAUGGGCGGAAGCCUGAUGCAGCAACGCCGCGUGCGGGAUGACGGCCUUCGGAUUGUAAACCGCUUUCGCCUGUGACGAAGCGUGAGUGACGGUAAGGGGUAAAGAAGCACCGGCUAACUACGUGC